ACGUCAUGGACGUGUUCUGUAUAGAACGCGGAAGGCUGUUGGACAACAACUCUGUGAGGACCUUAGAGGGACCGGACCGCCACAGUUUGCACUGUUUGGUGGAU
RNAcentral lists this ribosomal RNA (104 nucleotides) under Cyclophora tenuis. Its description in RNAcentral is "partial Eukaryotic small subunit ribosomal RNA". The record is from RNAcentral. Lineage: Eukaryota; Bacillariophyta; Fragilariophyceae; Cyclophorales; Cyclophoraceae.